Molecule: transfer RNA, 72 nt
Filed under: Camelus bactrianus (Bactrian camel)
Lineage: Eukaryota; Metazoa; Chordata; Mammalia; Artiodactyla; Camelidae
Also listed under: 2 other names
Rfam family: tRNA
About the family: Transfer RNA (tRNA) molecules are approximately 80 nucleotides in length. Their secondary structure includes four short double-helical elements and three loops (D, anti-codon, and T loops).
Source: Rfam by way of RNAcentral
AGUGGUAUAACUCAGUGGUAGAGUGUAUGCUUAGCAUGUAUGAGUUCCUGAGUUCAGUCCCCAGUACGUCCA